UACAAGUAAAAGAGAAGAAGACUCCAAGAUUCCGAUUGUGGACUUUUCCCGUUCUGGUGGAUGGACCACUUGGGGUUGUUUCCGCUGCUGAAUUGAUUGGCAUGAUCCUCUUUAUCGUGUUUGUUAUCUGGGAAGUUU
This is a long non-coding RNA of Quercus lobata, 138 nucleotides long. RefSeq lists it as uncharacterized. The record is from RefSeq and is a predicted model, not a curated record. The transcript has 3 exons. Lineage: Eukaryota; Viridiplantae; Streptophyta; Magnoliopsida; Fagales; Fagaceae.